This 1434-nucleotide ribosomal RNA is filed under the name metagenome. Its description in RNAcentral is "bacterial SSU rRNA". It matches the Rfam family "Archaeal small subunit ribosomal RNA". The record is from RNAcentral.
UCCCGUUGAUCCUGCGGGAGAUCGCUGCUAUUAGGAUUCCACUUAGACAUGCAAGUCAGGGGGCCCCUUCGGGGGCACCGGCAAAAGGCUCAGUAACACGUCGAUAAUCUGCCUUAUGGUUGGGGACAGCUUCGGGAAACUGAGGGUAAAACCCAAUAUGAGAAAAAUACUGGAAUGUUUUUUCUCUGAAACUUCGGGCCAUAAGAUGAGUCGGCGGCUGAUUAGGUUGUUGGUGAGGUAAUGGCUCACCAAGCCAAAGAUCAGUAGGGGAGAUGAGAGUCUUAGCCUCGAGAAGGGCACUGAGAUAAGGGCCCUAGCCUUACGGGGUGCAGCAGUUAGGAAACCUUUACAAUGCACGAAAGUGUGAUAAGGGAAUCCUAAGUGCCUACUUUCGGGUAGGCUUUUGUUAAGUGUAAAAAACUUGACGAAUAAGCGGUGGGCAAGACCGGUGCCAGCCGCCGCGGUAACACCGGCGCCGCAAGUGGCUAUCAGUUUUAUUGGGUCUAAAGCAUCUGUAGCCUAUUUGACAAAUCCCUUGUGAAAUUGAUAAGCUUAACUUAUCAGCGGGCGAGGGACACUAUCAAGUUAGAGACCGGGAGGAGGCAGAAGUACGCUUUGGGGAGCGGUAAAAUGCAAUAAUCCUUAGCGGACUACCUGUGGCGAAGGCGUCUGCCUAGAACGGGUCUGACGGUGAGAGAUGAAAGCCAGGGGCGCAAAUCGGAUUAGAUACCCGAGUAGUCCUGGCUGUAAACGCUGCGAGCUAUGUGUUGCAUGUUCUUUGAGGACAUGCAGUGCCGUAGUGAAGACGUUAAGCUCGCCACCUGGGAAGUACGGUCGCAAGGCUGAAACUUAAAGGAUUGGCGGGGGCGCGCUACCAGGGGUGGAGCGUGCGGUUUAAUCUAACUACGCACAGAGAACCUCACCAGAGGCGACGGCAGGAUGAAGGUCAGAAUGAAGAUCUUACCUAACAAGCCGAGAGAUGGUGCAUGGCCGCCGUCAGUUCGUGCCGUGAGGUGUUCGGUUAAGUCCGACAACGAACAAGACCUAUGCUUACAGUUGCUAGCGACUAAUCUUAGGAUCGUGCACACUGUAAGGACUGCCCGCGUAAGUGGGAGGAAGGUGUAGGCAACGGUCGGUCUGUAUGCCUCGAAUCUUCUGGGCUACACGCGCGCAACAAUGGUAUGGACAAUGGGCUGCAACUCUGAAAAGAGAAGCCAAUCCUCGAAACCAUAUCUUAGUCCGGAUUGAGGGUUGCAACUCACCCUCAUGACGCUGGAAUCCCUAGUAAUCGGGUAUUAUCAAUGCCCGGUGAAUAAGUCAACGUGCCUUGCACACACCGCCCGUCAUCCCAACCGAGCAGAGCUUGGGUGAGGUUUAUUCUUUUGGAUAAUCCAAAUCUGAGUUCAGUGAGGAGGGGCAAGUCGUCACAAGGUA